AUCUAGCUGACGAGUUCCAAAUAGGAUAAAACGCAUGUCCAGGAU
Schistosoma curassoni is the source of this 45-nucleotide non-coding RNA. The record is from Rfam. NCBI's taxonomy places the organism in Eukaryota, Metazoa, Platyhelminthes, Trematoda, Strigeidida, Schistosomatidae.